This 490-nucleotide ribosomal RNA is filed under the name uncultured bacterium. RNAcentral describes it as "partial 16S ribosomal RNA". It matches the Rfam family "Bacterial small subunit ribosomal RNA", at positions 28 to 507 of the family's 1533-position model. The record is from RNAcentral.
GAUGAAUGCUAGCGAUAGGCCUAACACAUGCAAGUCGAGGGGCAGCAUGGUCUUAGCUUGCUCAGACUGAUGGCGACCGGCGGACGGGUGCGUAACGCGUAGGCAACUUGCCUCACAGAGGGGGAUAACCCGUCGAAAGACGGCCUAAUACCGCGUACACUCCAUCUUGGGCAUCCGAGGUAGAGGAACUGAAAGUCACUGUAAGAAAGUCAUGCGUCACAUUAGCUAGUUGGUGAGGUAGCGGCGCAACGAGGCGACGCUGGGUAGGGGAACUGAGAGGUUGCAACCCCGCACUGGUACUGAGACACAGACCAGACUACUACGCGAGGCAGCAGAGUGGAAUAUUAGGCAAUGGGCGAGAGUCUGAACCAGCCGAGUCGCGUGAAGGAUGACUGUCUUAUGUAAUGUAAACUUCUUUUAUAGGGGAAUAACAAGAGUAACGUGUGACUCCCUGAAUGUACCGGAUGAAUAAGCAUCGGCUAACUCCGUG